UACGUAGGGUGCAAGCGUUAAUCGGAAUUACUGGGCGUAAAGCGUGCGCAGGCGGUUAUGUAAGACAGGUGUGAAAUCCCCGGGCUUAACCCUGGGAACUGCAUCCGAUACUGGAUGGCUUGAAUCCGGGAGAGGGAUGCGGAAUUCCAGGUGUAGCGGUGAAAUGCGCAGAUAUCAGGAAGAACACCCGUGGCUAAGGCGGCUCCCUAGUACGGUAGCUGACGCUGAGACGCGAAAGCGUGGGGAGCGAACAGG
This 255-nucleotide ribosomal RNA is filed under the name uncultured bacterium. RNAcentral describes it as "partial 16S ribosomal RNA". It matches the Rfam family "Bacterial small subunit ribosomal RNA", at positions 524 to 776 of the family's 1533-position model. The record is from RNAcentral.